CCUACGGGACGGCAGCAGUAGGGGAUCUCUCGGCAAUGGACGACAGUCUGACCGAGCAACGCCGCGUGAGUGAAGAAGGUUUUCGGAUCGUAAAACUCUGUUGUUAGAGAAGAACAAGGACGUUAGUAACUGAACGUCCCCUGACGGUAUCUAACCAGAAAGCCACGGCUAACUACGUGCCAGCAGCCGCGGUAAUACGUAGGUGGCAAGCGUUGUCCGGAUUUAUUGGGCGUAAAGCGAGCGCAGGCGGUUUCUUAAGUCUGAUGUGAAAGCCCCCGGCUCAACCGGGGAGGGUCAUUGGAAACUGGGAGACUUGAGUGCAGAAGAGGAGAGUGGAAUUCCAUGUGUAGCGGUGAAAUGCGUAGAUAUAUGGAGGAACACCAGUGGCGAAGGCGGCUCUCUGGUCUGUAACUGACGCUGAGGCUCGAAAGCGUGGGGAGCAAACAGGAUUAGAUACCCUGGUAGUCCACGCCGUAAACGAUGAGUGCUAAGUGUUGGAGGGUUUCCGCCCUUCAGUGCUGCAGCAAACGCAUAAGCACUCCGCCUGGGAGUAGAACGA
RNAcentral lists this ribosomal RNA (559 nucleotides) under Enterococcus faecalis. RNAcentral's name for it is "bacterial SSU rRNA". It matches the Rfam family "Bacterial small subunit ribosomal RNA", at positions 338 to 888 of the family's 1533-position model. The record is from RNAcentral. Lineage: Bacteria; Bacillati; Bacillota; Bacilli; Lactobacillales; Enterococcaceae.